RNAcentral lists this ribosomal RNA (60 nucleotides) under Columnea sp. MLS-2017. RNAcentral describes it as "partial 18S ribosomal RNA". Lineage: Eukaryota; Viridiplantae; Streptophyta; Magnoliopsida; Lamiales; Gesneriaceae. The record is from RNAcentral.
UUUUUUAAAAAAAGGAAAAAAGAUAAAGUUUCCGUAGGUGAACCUGCGGAAGGAUCAUUG